Diorhabda sublineata is the source of this 1349-nucleotide long non-coding RNA. RefSeq lists it as uncharacterized. Lineage: Eukaryota; Metazoa; Arthropoda; Insecta; Coleoptera; Chrysomelidae. The record is from RefSeq and is a predicted model, not a curated record. The transcript has 6 exons.
UUUACAAUCGCAACACACUGCUGGUGACAACAAAACCCAAGUUGAUUAUCUAUAUGCCGUAACUUAGAUCAAUUCGUAAUUCCUAUUGCCUAAUUGUAUCGUGAAUUAGAUAAACAGAAAAUUAAUAGUACUUUCUAUAUUGUUAUUAACAGAAAAUUGCAACGUAAUUCAUUCUAGUUAUGAUUUUUCUUCUCUUGUUUUUUCUGCGAAGAACUAGACAUUUGUAGCUUCGGUAUAUAUUUCUUAUUUUGAAACUCGAUUAAAAUAUUCUUCCUCCAAAUACAGUCAACGUUAUUGUGUGAAAAAUUGCAUAACGGAAACACCAGUGUGUGACCGACUCAUAUGGGGAAGGCGACUAUAUUAUAUACCAUAUGUGACACAGGUUCCGGAAGGAAGAAAAAAGGGUUCUGCAGGUAGAUUUUUAAACCCAGUUGAUCCUUUGAAAAUUUAAUCAGUUACCCUUUACGUGUUCACACAUAUAUAUCUUGAUCAAAUUGCGAGAAGUUAAGUUGAAGAUAGGAGUGAUGAUAUCGAAUUUAUUAAGUGCCGUUUCCAAGUACUCGAAAGUGAAGUGCUUGAAUGUUAUAUUGAGCAAUCAUGAGUAAAGAAUAUCGUUCACCAAAACUCCUCCAUGGUAAAUUUUUGUGAGAGGAGAGUGGGAUGGUAGGAUAUUUAGAAGUAGGGCCUGUCUAAUCAGUUCUAAUGCAUACAAAUGGGGAUUUAUUGUGGGAUUAUAAUAUAGAAUUUAGAAAUGUUCAACGUAUAGAAAAAUAAUAAUCGGAUACUGAAAAAAUUGAAUUAUUUCGGAGAAAUAUCCAAACACCUGCCUAGCCAGGAUAACCGGACUAGUAUAUAUCUUGAGGGAUUGAGGGGAUGGAUGGGAGAAGAGAAAAGGACCCAAGAAGGAUCUCUCUCAGGAGCGUUAACAAGCAGGACUGCGGCGACCGUAAAGAAAAGGACUAAAAGGAACUUUCAUUAAUGCAAAGUAGGAUUGAUUUGAGAAGCAGGAUACCUGCGUGGUCCUUUCUUGUCUCCUUAAACCCUUGUUCGUUAAAAUCCGGCUGAUGGCUGCCACCGCUGGACCUUGCGCGCGCAUUUGACCGCUAGGGAUGGACAUUGAUCAAUAAUAUAUAAGAAGAUUGUAAAUUCCCAUACUACCAAAAGGUACACUGAUAUCUCAUCACUCAGCAUCCCAAUUCACCGCCAUUCAGUUAAGCUUUUUAAUGCUGACCAGUCCGGCGCAUGCCUUCAAUAAAGGGGAAUGACCAUUAAGGGUGGUCAGUCAACCAAACCGCUCCCUUACAAAGUUAUCACCCCGAAUGUCGUUUCCUUUGACCAGGACAAUACGU